GGCCCCGUGGUGUUCAACACGUUGGAUUGCAAAUCUUAAGAAGUAGGCUGAUCGCCUGCCGGGGCUU
This 67-nucleotide transfer RNA is filed under the name Trogloglanis pattersoni (toothless blindcat). RNAcentral describes it as "tRNA-Cys". Lineage: Eukaryota; Metazoa; Chordata; Actinopteri; Siluriformes; Ictaluridae. The record is from RNAcentral.